AUUUGUUUAACUGUGGCAAUAGAAAGUUAUCAUGAGUUAGCUGCAUAAAAAGUGUUUAUAGUUGUUAGGAAAUGUGAUUACUUUUUUGUGAUUAGCAGUUAGUUUUUUAUUAGAAUAUGUGUUUUUUAAGAAUAUUUUGAUUUUAAGGGGGUAGGACACAGUGCCAGCACCCGCGGUUAUUCUGUUUUCUUAGCUUUCAUGUAGAUUGUGGUUUGUUUGUUUAGAUUUAAAAUUAGGUGAAAAUUUUUUAUUUUGAUAUUAGGCAUUCAUAGUUUAGUAAAUAUUUUUAGUGACAGGGAUUAGAUACCCCAUUAAUUUAUUAUUAUAUUAUGUCUUAGUUUUGUAACUAAAAUGGUUUGGCAGCAAGUGAUUCUAGCUAGGGGAAGGUGCGUUGUAAAGGAUGGUCCGCCUAUUAUUUUACUUAUUUUAUGUUGGUGUAUAUCUAGUUUAAUAUUAUUGUUUAAUGAUUUAAAUUGUGUAUAUGAAGUUAUUUAAGCUAAGUCUAUGUGCUGCUUGAAUAAGAUUUCGUGCGUUACAUUUAUAUGGUUACUAUAAGUGAUAUUUUGUAAAAUAGUUAGGACUUAGUAGUAAUGUGAAAUUAGUUUGUUCGUGUGAAGUUAGUUUAGCUUGGGUACACACCGCCCGUCAUCCUCGAUAAUUAUUGAGGCAAGUCGUAACAAGGUAACUUUAAAGGAAUUUGGAGUUAAUUACUAUGUUUAGUAUUA
Molecule: non-coding RNA, 725 nt
Filed under: Moniezia sp. MN-2015
Lineage: Eukaryota; Metazoa; Platyhelminthes; Cestoda; Cyclophyllidea; Anoplocephalidae
Source: RNAcentral